Molecule: ribosomal RNA, 497 nt
Filed under: uncultured bacterium
Lineage: Bacteria
Description: partial 16S ribosomal RNA
Rfam family: Bacterial small subunit ribosomal RNA
Source: RNAcentral
AUUGAACGCUGGCGGCAUGCCUUACACAUGCAAGUCGAACGGUAACGCGGGGCAACCUGGCGACGAGUGGCGAACGGGUGAGUAACGCAUCGGAACGUGCCCAGUAGUGGGGGAUAGCCCGGCGAAAGCCGGAUUAAUACCGCAUACGACCUACGGGUGAAAGGGGGGAUCGCAAGACCUCUCGCUAUUGGAGCGGCCGAUGUCAGAUUAGGUAGUUGGUGGGGUAAAGGCCUACCAAGCCUACGAUCUGUAGCUGGUCUGAGAGGACGACCAGCCACACUGGGACUGAGACACGGCCCAGACUCCUACGGGAGGCAGCAGUGGGGAAUUUUGGACAAUGGGCGCAAGCCUGAUCCAGCCAUGCCGCGUGCGGGAAGAAGGCCUUCGGGUUGUAAACCGCUUUUGUCAGGGAAGAAACGCUCUGGACUAAUAAUCUGGGGUAAUGACGGUACCUGAAGAAUAAGCACCGGCUAACUACGUGCCAGCAGCCGCCGUAA